GCCGGGAUGAUGAAAUUGGUAGACAUGACAGACUCAAAAUUUGUUGAUUUUAUAAUCGUAAGAGUUCAAAUCUCUUUCUCGGUA
This 84-nucleotide transfer RNA is filed under the name Candidatus Azosocius agrarius. RNAcentral describes it as "tRNA-Leu". It matches the Rfam family "tRNA". Rfam says of the family: Transfer RNA (tRNA) molecules are approximately 80 nucleotides in length. Their secondary structure includes four short double-helical elements and three loops (D, anti-codon, and T loops). Further hydrogen bonds mediate the characteristic L-shaped molecular structure. tRNAs have two regions of fundamental functional importance: the anti-codon, which is responsible for specific mRNA codon recognition, and the 3' end, to which the tRNAs corresponding amino acid is attached (by aminoacyl-tRNA synthetases). tRNAs cope with the degeneracy of the genetic code in two manners: having more than one tRNA (with a specific anti-codon) for a particular amino acid; and 'wobble' base-pairing, i.e. permitting non-standard base-pairing at the 3rd anti-codon position. The record is from RNAcentral. Lineage: Bacteria; Pseudomonadati; Pseudomonadota; Gammaproteobacteria; Candidatus Azoamicaceae.